Molecule: small nuclear RNA, 107 nt
Organism: Ochotona curzoniae (black-lipped pika)
Lineage: Eukaryota; Metazoa; Chordata; Mammalia; Lagomorpha; Ochotonidae
Source: RefSeq, a predicted model, not a curated record
AUGCUCGCUUCGGCAGCACACAUACUAAAGUUGGAACGAUACAGAGAAGAUUAGCAUGGCCCAUGCGCAAGGAUGACAUGCAAAGUCGUGAAGGAUUGGCAUUUGCC